RNAcentral lists this long non-coding RNA (693 nucleotides) under Rattus norvegicus (Norway rat). RNAcentral's name for it is "long non-coding RNA NONRATT006780". The record is from RNAcentral. Lineage: Eukaryota; Metazoa; Chordata; Mammalia; Rodentia; Muridae.
CUUCAUUGGAGUCUACUCAAAGAAUCUCAACAUCAUCUUCACCUCCCCUCGGCCAACGCGAAACAUCUUCCCUAAAUAUCAUCUGGUCUACGCCUUCUUUGGAAUCUAGUCAAAGUGAACGUAACUCACAAUUAUGUAAAUCUAAAUCACAGAAAGAUUCCUCAUUAGACUGCCUUUGGACAUCUUUAUUAGAAUCCAAUCCAAAACCAUUGAGCUCGCCAUCACUCACCCACAAACUUCAACGACACAGCUUUCCCCAAACUUCAGCUCUUGAAUCCAAUCGAGUGGUUCAGAGUUCACCAUUAUCUGACUGUAAGUCUCUGAAAAUUCCUAUAUCUAACUCUAAUAACAAUGUUUUUACUUUACCAUUGUCCCAAGCAAAAUCGAGAAAGUUAGCUCCAUCGUCACAUUCUUUUCUGCCAUCUCGGAGUUUAUCAACGUGCCAGCCCAAACCUAAAAUUGCAGCUAGAUGUGAUCCUAGUACCCGGGCCAUCAGUGCAACUGUUUGCCAUCCCAAGGUCCAGAAUACUGCUUCACUCAUUGACAAACACAGACUUCGUCAGCUACCCUCAGUUCACACUAAACCAAACAUCUCAGGCCAAAGAAUACUAAGUCCUAAGCCCUGUAUCAAGAGCAAAAAUGCCUCAGUCCCGUGUUCCAGACUGCCGAAUAAAUGUAGCUUUGAAAAGAGUG